This 465-nucleotide ribosomal RNA is filed under the name uncultured Klebsiella sp. RNAcentral describes it as "bacterial SSU rRNA". It matches the Rfam family "Bacterial small subunit ribosomal RNA", at positions 338 to 795 of the family's 1533-position model. Lineage: Bacteria; Pseudomonadati; Pseudomonadota; Gammaproteobacteria; Enterobacterales; Enterobacteriaceae. The record is from RNAcentral.
CCUACGGGAGGCUGCAGUGGGGAAUAUUGCACAAUGGGCGCAAGCCUGAUGCAGCCAUGCCGCGUGUGUGAAGAAGGCCUUCGGGUUGUAAAGCACUUUCAGCGGGGAGGAAGGCGGUGAGGUUAAUAACCUCAUCGAUUGACGUUACCCGCAGAAGAAGCACCGGCUAACUCCGUGCCAGCAGCCGCGGUAAUACGGAGGGUGCAAGCGUUAAUCGGAAUUACUGGGCGUAAAGCGCACGCAGGCGGUCUGUCAAGUCGGAUGUGAAAUCCCCGGGCUCAACCUGGGAACUGCAUUCGAAACUGGCAGGCUAGAGUCUUGUAGAGGGGGGUUGAAUUCCUGGUGUAGCAGUGAAAUGCGUAGAGAUCAAGAGGAACACCGAUGGCGAAGGCAGCCCCCUGGGCCGAUACUGACGCUCAUGCACGAAAGCGUGGGGAGCAAACAGGAUUAGAUACCCGAGUAGUC